Molecule: ribosomal RNA, 429 nt
Filed under: Bacteroidota bacterium
Lineage: Bacteria; Pseudomonadati; Bacteroidota
Description: Bacteroidetes bacterium partial 16S ribosomal RNA
Rfam family: Bacterial small subunit ribosomal RNA
Source: RNAcentral
UAGGGAAUCUUCCGCAAUGGACGCAAGUCUGACGGAGCAACGCCGCGUGAGUGAAGAAGGAUUUCGGUUCGUAAAACUCUGUUGUUAGAGAAGAACAGCGCAUAGAGUAACUGUUAUGCGUGUGACGGUAUCUAACCAGAAAGCCACGGCUAACUACGUGCCAGCAGCCGCGGUAAUACGUAGGUGGCAAGCGUUGUCCGGAUCUAUUGGGCGUAAAGCGAGCGCGGGCGGUCAAUUAAGUCUGAUGUGAAAGCCCCCGGCUCAACCGGGGAGGGUCAUUGGAAACUGGUUGACUUGAGUGCAGAAGAGGAGAGUGGAAUUCCAGUUGUAGCGGUGAAAUGCGUAGAUAUAUGGAGGAACACCAGUGACGAAGGCGACUCACUGGUCUGUAACUGACGCUGAGGCUCGAAAGCGUGGGUAACAAACAGG